RNAcentral lists this ribosomal RNA (253 nucleotides) under uncultured bacterium. RNAcentral describes it as "partial 16S ribosomal RNA". It matches the Rfam family "Bacterial small subunit ribosomal RNA", at positions 524 to 776 of the family's 1533-position model. The record is from RNAcentral.
UACGUAGGGGGCAAGCGUUGUCCGGAUUUAUUGGGCGUAAAGAGCGUGUAGGCGGCCGCACAGGUCCGUUGUGAAAACUGGAGGCUUAACCUUCAGACGUCGAUGGAAACCGUGCGGCUAGAGUCCGGAAGAGGAGAGUGGAAUUCCGUGUGUAGUGGUGAAAUGCGUAGAGAUGCGGAAGAACACCAGUGGCGAAGGCGGUUUACUGGUCUCCAACUGACACUGAACCGCGAAAGCAUGGGUAGCGAACGGG